GAUGAACGCUAGCUACAGGCUUAACACAUGCAAGUCGUGGGGCAGCGGAUGCUUAGCUUGCUAAGUAUGCCGGCGACCGGCGCACGGGCGAGUAACGCGUACCGAACCUGCCCAUCACACAGGGAUAGGCUUGCGAAAGCAAGAUUAAUAUCUGAUGGUCUCAGUUGUAUGCAUGUAUGAUUGAGUAAAGCCUUCGGGCGGUGAUGGAUGGCGGUGCGUCCCAUUAGGAAGUUGGCGGGGUAACGGCCCACCAAUCCUUCGAUGGGUAGGGGUUCUGAGAGGAAGGUCCCCCACAUUGGAACUGAGAUACGGUCCAAACUCCUACGGAAGGCAGCAGUGAGGAAUAUUGGUCAAUGGGCGAGAGCCUGAACCAGCCAAGUAGCGUGCGGGAUGAAGGCCCUUGUGGUCGUAAACCGCUUUUAUCAGUGAAUAAAGUGCAUCACGUGUGGUGUCAUUGCAGGUAGCUGAAGAAAAAGGACCGGCUAAUUCCGUGCCAGCAGCCGCGGUAAUACGGAAGGUCCGGGCGUUAUCCGGAAUUAUUGGGUUUAAAGGGAGCGCAGGCGGGAGUAUAAGUCAGCUGUUAAAUAUCAGAGCCCAACUCUGUUAUGCAGUUGAACUAUAUUUCUUGAGUACGCACAGGGAUGGCGGAAUUCAGGGUGUAGCGGUGAAUGCUUAGAUAUCCUGAAGAACUCCGAUCGCGAAGGCAGCCAUCCGGAGCGUAACUGACGCUGAGGCUCGAAGGUGCGGGUAUCGAACAGG
This 759-nucleotide ribosomal RNA is filed under the name Alloprevotella tannerae. RNAcentral's name for it is "bacterial SSU rRNA". It matches the Rfam family "Bacterial small subunit ribosomal RNA", at positions 28 to 776 of the family's 1533-position model. Lineage: Bacteria; Pseudomonadati; Bacteroidota; Bacteroidia; Bacteroidales; Prevotellaceae. The record is from RNAcentral.